GUUUGCGUUUGGUGCAGCGGUUUGAGCAUUGGACUACAAAUCUGGAGACCAGGGUUCGAAUCCCUCCUCAUCCG
This is a non-coding RNA of Phrynosoma platyrhinos (Desert horned lizard), 74 nucleotides long. Lineage: Eukaryota; Metazoa; Chordata; Lepidosauria; Squamata; Phrynosomatidae. The record is from the annotation of a GenBank genome assembly.